CGGGCCACCGGAAGCGGCUGAGGGAUAGCGAGAGGCUGCGACUGUAGGGGUGUGCGGGUGCAGGUCAGGGUUAAGAGACGCAGGCAUGCUGCGUCCCAAGGCUUUGACGCAGGUGCUAAGCCAAGCCAACACUGGAGGAGUCCAAAGCACUCUGUGAGUGAACAACAAGAACCCAAGCAGCGAGCGCUGGAAUGGGGCGAUGCGCGGCUGUCUGCAGUAGGGGCUGCUGAAUAAUGAGGGAUCGCUGCUGGCCUACUCCGGUUAUGGGGACACAGAUGCCCGGGUCACUGCGGCCAUCGCCAGUAACAUCUGGGCCGCGUAUGAUAGGAACGGGAACCAAGCGUUUAAUGAAGACAGUCUCAAAUUUAUCCUGAUGGACUGCAUGGAGGGCCGUGUAGCCAUUACGAGGGUGGCCAACCUUCUGCUAUGUAUGUAUGCCAAGGAGACCGUAGGCUUCGGAAUGCUCAAGGCCAAGGCCCAGGCCUUGGUGCAGUACCUGGAGGAACCCCUCACCCAAGUAGCGGCAUCAUAAUAGCUAGCAUGAUGGAAGCUGGAGUAGAGAAGGGAUGGUGAUGGGAGGGGCGGGGCCUUAGAAACUGUAUUGGGCUAGGUUCAGGAAGGUGGGGGUUGCUUUUUUCUGAAUAAAUUUUCAGCUCUUA
RNA transcript from Mus pahari (shrew mouse), 659 nucleotides. It is a transcript of the gene named late endosomal/lysosomal adaptor, MAPK and MTOR activator 2, with no coding region annotated. The transcript is spliced from 4 exons. Lineage: Eukaryota; Metazoa; Chordata; Mammalia; Rodentia; Muridae. The record is from RefSeq and is a predicted model, not a curated record.